Molecule: ribosomal RNA, 445 nt
Filed under: uncultured bacterium
Lineage: Bacteria
Description: partial 16S ribosomal RNA
Rfam family: Bacterial small subunit ribosomal RNA
Source: RNAcentral
GUGAGGAAUAUUGCGCAAUGGAGGCAACUCUGACGCAGCCAUGCCGCGUGCAGGAAGAAGGCGCUACGCGUUGUAAACUGCUUUUAACCGGGAAGAAACCCCAGGACGUGUCCUGGGUUGACGGUACCGGAGGAAUAAGCACCGGCUAACUUCGUGCCAGCAGCCGCGGUAAUACGAAGGGUGCAAGCGUUAUCCGGAUUCAUUGGGUUUAAAGGGUGCGUAGGCGGAGCGUUAAGUCAGUGGUGAAAUCCUGCAGCUUAACUGUAGACUUGCCAUUGAUACUGGCGCUCUUGAGUGCGCUUGAAGUGGGCGGAAUGUGACGUGUAGCGGUGAAAUGCUUAGAUAUGGCACAGAACACCAAUUGCGAAGGCAGCUCACUAAGGCGAUACUGACGCUGAGGCACGAAAGCGUGGGGAUCGAACAGGAUUAGAAACCCCAGUAGUCC